RNAcentral lists this RNase P RNA (326 nucleotides) under bovine gut metagenome. Its description in RNAcentral is "Bacterial RNase P class A". It matches the Rfam family "Bacterial RNase P class A". Rfam says of the family: Ribonuclease P (RNase P) is a ubiquitous endoribonuclease, found in archaea, bacteria and eukarya as well as chloroplasts and mitochondria. Its best characterised activity is the generation of mature 5'-ends of tRNAs by cleaving the 5'-leader elements of precursor-tRNAs. Cellular RNase Ps are ribonucleoproteins. The record is from RNAcentral.
AGUUAAUCGGAUGAUCGCGUGUAGUAAUUAUACGAGGAAAGUCCGAGCACCGCAGAGCAGGACGCCGGCUAACUACCGGUGAAGGCGACUUCAAGGAAAGUGCAACAGAGAUAUACCGCCGAAUAUAUUCGGUAAGGGUGGAAAGGGGAGGUAAAAGCUCACCGACGGAUUUGGUAACUUAUCCGCCAUGUAAACCCCGUUCGGUGCAAGACAGGAAGCGUUUUAACGCGGCUCGCCAGCUUCCGGUAUUCGCUUGAACGCAUUGGUAACAAUGCGCCUAGAUAGAUGGUCAUCCAAGACAGAACUCGGCUUACAGAUUAACUCUU